Molecule: ribosomal RNA, 497 nt
Filed under: uncultured bacterium
Lineage: Bacteria
Description: partial 16S ribosomal RNA
Rfam family: Bacterial small subunit ribosomal RNA
Source: RNAcentral
GACGAACGCUGGCGGCGUGCCUAAUACAUGCAAGUUGAGCGCUGAAGGUUGGUACUUGUACCAACUGGAUGAGCAGCGAACGGGUGAGUAACGCGUGGGGAAUCUGCCUUUGAGCGGGGGACAACAUUUGGAAACGAAUGCUAAUACCGCAUAAAAACUUUAAACACAAGUUUUAAGUUUGAAAGAUGCAAUUGCAUCACUCAAAGAUGAUCCCGCGUUGUAUUAGCUAGUUGGUGAGGUAAAGGCUCACCAAGGCGAUGAUACAUAGCCGACCUGAGAGGGUGAUAGGCCACAUUGGGACUGAGACACGGCCCAAACUCCUACGGGAGGCAGCAGUAGGGAAUCUUCGGCAAUGGACGAAAGUCUGACCGAGCAACGCCGCGUGAGUGAAGAAGGGUUUCGGAUCGUAAAAAUCGGUUGGUAGAGAAGAACGUUGGUGAGAGUGGAAAGCUCAUCAAGUGACGGUAACUACCCAGAAAGGGACGGCUAACUACGUG